This 520-nucleotide ribosomal RNA is filed under the name uncultured Glomus. RNAcentral's name for it is "partial 18S ribosomal RNA". Lineage: Eukaryota; Fungi; Glomeromycota; Glomeromycetes; Glomerales; Glomeraceae. The record is from RNAcentral.
CGUAAGGCGCCGAAUGAGUCAUUAAAAAAUUAACAUCAUCCGAUCCCUAGUCGGCAUAGUUUAUGGUUAAGACUACGACGGUAUCUGAUCGUCUUCGAUCCCCUAACUUUCGUUCUUGAUUAAUGAAAACAUCCUUGGCAAAUGCUUUCGCAGUAGUUAGUCCUCAAUAAAUCCAAGAAUUUCACCUCUGACAAUUGAAUACUAAUGCCCCCAACUAUCCCUAUUAAUCAUUACGUCGAUCCUAGAAACCAACAAAAUUAAAAUCAAACGUCCUAUUUCGUUAUUCCAUGCUAAUGUAUUCAAGCGUGAGCCUGCUUUAAACACUCUAAUUUUUUCAAAGUAACAGUCCUGAUUCCCCAAAACACCAAAUUAAUGGCAUUAUGAUUCGUCAGAAAGGAGAAACCAAUAAUACCAGUACGUACAAAAGCACGACCAAUAAACCGGUCUCGAAAUUCAACUACGAGCUUUUAACUGCAACAACUUUAAUAUACGCUAUUGGAGCUGGAAUUACCGCGGCUGC